AGAGUUUGAUCCUGGCUCAGGAUGAACGCUGGCGGCGUGCCUAAUACAUGCAAGUCGAGCGAACAGAUAAGGAGCUUGCUCCUUUGACGUUAGCGGCGGACGGGUGAGUAACACGUGGAUAACCUACCUAUAAGACUGGGAUAACUUCGGGAAACCGGAGCUAAUACCGGAUAACAUAUUGAACCGCAUGGUUCAAUAGUGAAAGGCGGCUUUGCUGUCACUUAUAGAUGGAUCCGCGCCGUAUUAGCUAGUUGGUAAGGUAACGGCUUACCAAGGCAACGAUACGUAGCCGACCUGAGAGGGUGAUCGGCCACACUGGAACUGAGACACGGUCCAGACUCCUACGGGAGGCAGCAGUAGGGAAUCUUCCGCAAUGGGCGAAAGCCUGACGGAGCAACGCCGCGUGAGUGAUGAAGGUCUUCGGAUCGUAAAACUCUGUUAUCAGG
RNAcentral lists this ribosomal RNA (446 nucleotides) under Staphylococcus warneri Lyso 2 2011. RNAcentral describes it as "bacterial SSU rRNA". It matches the Rfam family "Bacterial small subunit ribosomal RNA", at positions 8 to 443 of the family's 1533-position model. The record is from RNAcentral. Lineage: Bacteria; Bacillati; Bacillota; Bacilli; Caryophanales; Staphylococcaceae.